UCAGGCCUAACACAUGCAAGUCAAACGACAAAUUUUUUUGUAGUGGCGGACGGGUGAGUAACACGUAAGAACCUGCCUUUAGGAGGGGGAUACCAUCUGGGAAACUGGUGCUAAUACCCCAUAUGCUGAGAAGUGAAAAGGUAUUUAACCGCCUAGAGAGGGGCUUGCGGCUGAUUAGCUAGUUGGUAGGGUAAUGGCCUCCCAAGGCGACGAUCAGUAGCUGGUUUGAGAGGAUGAUCAGCCACACUGGGACUGAGACACGGCCCAGACUCCUACGGGAGGCAGCAGUGAGGAAUUUUCCGCAAAGGGCGAAAGCCUGACGGAGCAAUACCGCGGGAGGUAUAUGGAGACCUGUGGGUUGUAAACUCCUUUCUCAGAGAAGAAU
This 385-nucleotide ribosomal RNA is filed under the name uncultured bacterium. RNAcentral describes it as "bacterial SSU rRNA". It matches the Rfam family "Bacterial small subunit ribosomal RNA", at positions 42 to 450 of the family's 1533-position model. The record is from RNAcentral.